RNAcentral lists this ribosomal RNA (404 nucleotides) under Dravidogecko anamallensis. RNAcentral's name for it is "Hemidactylus anamallensis partial 12S ribosomal RNA". It matches the Rfam family "Bacterial small subunit ribosomal RNA", at positions 780 to 1388 of the family's 1533-position model. Lineage: Eukaryota; Metazoa; Chordata; Lepidosauria; Squamata; Gekkonidae. The record is from RNAcentral.
AGAUACCCCACUAUGCUUAGACAUUAACCCUGAUAGCCCCACUACCCGCUAUCCGCCAGAACACUACACGCGAAAAGCGUAAAACUCAAAGGACUUGACGGUAUCCCACAUCAACCUAGAGGAGCCUGUCCUAUAAUCGAUGACCCACGUUCCACCUCACCCGCCCUUGCACAAGCCAGCCUAUAUACCGCCGUCGCCAGCCUACCUUAUGAUAGACCCCCAGUAGGCGCAAUAGCCCCCGCUAAAACGUCAGGUCAAGGUGUAGCUAAUGCGCGGGAAGCGAUGGGCUACAUUUUCUAGCAUAGAAAACCAACCAACAGCGCCACGAAAACUCGCCAAAAGGAGGAUUUAGCAGUAAACAAGACAAACAUGUCCUAUUGAAGCCCGCCCUGGGAUGCGUACAC